Long non-coding RNA from Mirounga angustirostris (Northern elephant seal), 780 nucleotides. RefSeq lists it as uncharacterized. The transcript is spliced from 5 exons. The record is from RefSeq and is a predicted model, not a curated record. NCBI's taxonomy places the organism in Eukaryota, Metazoa, Chordata, Mammalia, Carnivora, Phocidae.
UCCUCCUCUUCUUCUACCUGGAACACAGAGCAAAACUACAGAUUGUACAUUCUCAAAGAUCCUGUCAAGAAAGAUCCUGUCAGAUUAAAGGUUUUGUUACAUCAUGACUGAUUCAUUAUUUCUUUCUCUUAUCUCAGAAUCUUUGAAGUCUUCAAAUGGAGCCUCAAAAAUUUCCUUUCAGACAAUGAAAAAUUCUUUCCAGGCUAGGUAAUGUAAUGCUAGAAGAAAUGCUUGGCCAUUGAUUGCAACUGAUACAUAAUAUUUGAAUAAAUGGUGAAAGAAUUAAUAUGGUGGAACUGAGCAUAUAAGAACCACCAUAUGGUAGUAUUAGUGGUUAAGAGUCUUAGCGCUAGAGUUGAAGGUUUGGUAUUCAAGUUGAAUGUAAUAGCAGUGUAGCUUGGACGGAGAGGUGGUCAGAAGGGUGGACAGCCCAGCAUUGCUUGAAAGAGUGCAGCCUGGAAUUCAACUGGAUGGUGGUACCAGUUUACCCUUCAAACCCUUCAAAAACAUUUUUAGGUAGAUACAUCAUGAGGGAGUAGAAGCAGGUUUGAAUCCUAAGCCCCAAGGUGAUGGUAUUAGAAGAUGGGGUAAUUAGGUCAUGAAGAUGGAACCCUCGAAUGGCAUUAGUGACUUUGUAAAAGAGACACCAGAACCUUGCCCCUCCUGCCAGGUGAUACAAGACCAGUCUAUGACACAGAAGAAGCCCUUCUUUAACCAUAGUGGCACCUUGAUCUCAGACUUCCAGCUUCCAGAAUUGUGAGAAAUAAAUUUCUGUUGUUU